GCGGAGGAAAAGAAACCAACCGGGAUUGCCUUAGUAACGGCGAGUGAAGCGGCAAAAGCUCAAAUUUGAAAUCUGGCGUCUUCGACGUCCGAGUUGUAAUUUGAAGAAGGCAACUUUGUAGCUGGUCCUUGUCUAUGUUCCUUGGAACAGGACGUCAUAGAGGGUGAGAAUCCCGUGUGGCGAGGAUCCCAGUUAUUUGUAAAGUGCUUUCGACGAGUCGAGUUGUUUGGGAAUGCAGCUCUAAGUGGGUGGUAAAUUCCAUCUAAAGCUAAAUAUUGGCGAGAGACCGAUAGCGAACAAGUACAGUGAUGGAAAGAUGAAAAGAACUUUGAAAAGAGAGUGAAAAAGUACGUGAAAUUGUUGAAAGGGAAGGGCAUUUGAUCAGACAUGGCGUUUGCUUCGGCUUUCGCUGGGCCAGCAUCAGUUUUAGCGGUUGGAUAAAUCCUCGGGAAUGUGGCUCUGCUUCGGUAGAGUGUUAUAGCCCGUGGGAAUACAGCCAGCUGGGACUGAGGAUUGCGACUUUUGUCAAGGAUGCUGGCGUAAUGGUUAAAUGCCGC
RNAcentral lists this ribosomal RNA (557 nucleotides) under Kluyveromyces lactis. Its description in RNAcentral is "eukaryotic LSU rRNA". It matches the Rfam family "Eukaryotic large subunit ribosomal RNA", at positions 50 to 648 of the family's 3401-position model. Lineage: Eukaryota; Fungi; Ascomycota; Saccharomycetes; Saccharomycetales; Saccharomycetaceae. The record is from RNAcentral.